UACGGGGGGGGCAAGCGUUGUUCGGAAUUACUGGGCGUAAAGGGCGCGUAGGCGGUCCGUUAAGUUAGAUGUGAAAACUCUGGGCUCAACCCAGAGCCUGCAUCUAAUACUGACGGGCUAGAGUUCUGGAGGGGGUAGCGGAAUUCCUGGUGUAGCGGUGAAAUGCGUAGAUAUCGGGAGGAACACCUGUGGCGAAAGCGGCUCACUGGACCACAACUGACGCUGAGGCGCGAAAGCGUGGGGAGCAAACAGG
RNAcentral lists this ribosomal RNA (253 nucleotides) under uncultured bacterium. RNAcentral describes it as "partial 16S ribosomal RNA". It matches the Rfam family "Bacterial small subunit ribosomal RNA", at positions 524 to 776 of the family's 1533-position model. The record is from RNAcentral.